GACGAACGCUGGCGGCGUGCUUAACACAUGCAAGUCGAACGCUGAAGCUUGGUGCUUGCACUGGGUGGAUGAGUGGCGAACGGGUGAGUAAUACGUGAGUAACCUGCCCUUGACUCUGGGAUAAGCCUGGGAAACUGGGUCUAAUACGGGAUAUGACAUGCCACUGCAUGGUGGUGUGUGGAAAGGGUUUUACUGGUUUUGGAUGGGCUCACGGCCUAUCAGCUUGUUGGUGGGGUAAUGGCCUGCCAAGGCGACGACGGGUAGCCGGCCUGAGAGGGUGACCGGCCACACUGGGACUGAGACACGGCCCAGACUCCUACGGGAGGCAGCAGUGGGGAAUAUUGCACAAUGGGCGGAAGCCUGAUGCAGCGACGCCGCGUGAGGGAUGACGGCCUUCGGGUUGUAAACCUCUUUCAGCACGGAAGAAGCGAGAGUGACGGUACGUGCAGAAGAAGCGCCGGCUAACUACGUG
RNAcentral lists this ribosomal RNA (472 nucleotides) under uncultured bacterium. RNAcentral's name for it is "partial 16S ribosomal RNA". It matches the Rfam family "Bacterial small subunit ribosomal RNA", at positions 28 to 507 of the family's 1533-position model. The record is from RNAcentral.